GACGAACGCUGGCGGCGUGCUUAACACAUGCAAGUCGAACGGAAAGGCCCUGCUUUUGUGGGGUGCUCGAGUGGCGAACGGGUGAGUAACACGUGAGUAACCUGCCCUUGACUUUGGGAUAACUUCAGGAAACUGGGGCUAAUACCGGAUAGGAGCUCCUGCUGCAUGGUGGGGGUUGGAAAGUUUCGGCGGUUGGGGAUGGACUCGCGGCUUAUCAGCUUGUUGGUGGGGUAGUGGCUUACCAAGGCUUUGACGGGUAGCCGGCCUGAGAGGGUGACCGGCCACAUUGGGACUGAGAUACGGCCCAGACUCCUACGGGAGGCAGCAGUGGGGAAUAUUGCACAAUGGGCGGAAGCCUGAUGCAGCAACGCCGCGUGCGGGAUGACGGCCUUCGGGUUGUAAACCGCUUUCGCCUGUGACGAAGCGUGAGUGACGGUAAUGGGUAAAGAAGCACCGGCUAACUACGUGCCAGCAGCCGCGGUGAUACGUAGGGUGCGAGCGUUGUCCGGAUUUAUUGGGCGUAAAGGGCUCGUAGGUGGUUGAUCGCGUCGGAAGUGUAAUCUUGGGGCUUAACCCUGAGCGUGCUUUCGAUACGGGUUGACUUGAGGAAGGUAGGGGAGAAUGGAAUUCCUGGUGGAGCGGUGGAAUGCGCAGAUAUCAGGAGGAACACCAGUGGCGAAGGCGGUUCUCUGGGCCUUUCCUGACGCUGAGGAGCGAAAGCGUGGGGAGCGAACAGGCUUAGAUACCCUGGUAGUCCACGCUGUAAACGGUGGGUACUAGGUGUGGGGUCCAUUCCACGGGUUCCGUGCCGUAGCUAACGCUUUAAGUACCCCGCCUGGGGAGUACGGCCGCAAGGCUAAAACUCAAAGGAAUUGACGGGGCCCCGCACAAGCGGCGGAGCAUGCGGAUUAAUUCGAUGCAACGCGUAGAACCUUACCUGGGUUUGACAUGGAUCGGGAGUGCUCAGAGAUGGGUGUGCCUCUUUUGGGGUCGGUUCACAGGUGGUGCAUGGCUGUCGUCAGCUCGUGUCGUGAGAUGUUGGGUUAAGUCCCGCAACGAGCGCAACCCUUGUUCACUGUUGCCAGCACGUUAUGGUGGGGACUCAGUGGAGACCGCCGGGGUCAACUCGGAGGAAGGUGGGGAUGACGUCAAGUCAUCAUGCCCCUUAUGUCCAGGGCUUCACGCAUGCUACAAUGGCUGGUACAGAGAGUGGCGAGCCUGUGAGGGUGAGCGAAUCUCGGAAAGCCGGGCUCAGUUCGGAUUGGGGUCUGCAGCUCGACCUCAUGAAGUCGGAGUCGCUAGUAAUCGCAGAUCAGCAACGCUGCGGUGAAUACGUUCCCGGGGCU
This 1346-nucleotide ribosomal RNA is filed under the name uncultured bacterium. RNAcentral's name for it is "partial 16S ribosomal RNA". It matches the Rfam family "Bacterial small subunit ribosomal RNA", at positions 28 to 1381 of the family's 1533-position model. The record is from RNAcentral.